AAGUCGUAACAAGGUUUCCGUAGGUGAACCUGCGGAAGGAUCAUUAAAUUGAAACAAACCAAAAAACACCACGUGGGCUUGCCCAUGUGCUGCAAGUUGUAAGUCUGCAUAGUUUUGAAAAAAACUGAUGAGCAGCGGCUUGCGUGUUUUGUUUUAACCCUUGUUUUUUGCGUACCUAUUGUUUCCUCGGCGAGUUCGCUCGCCGGCUGGACAAAACUUAUAACCUUUUUUUAAUCUUCAAUCAGCGUCUGAAUUAUACAUAAUAAUUACAACUUUCAACAACGGAUCUCUUGGUUCUG
RNAcentral lists this unclassified non-coding RNA (299 nucleotides) under Phaeosphaeria podocarpi. Its description in RNAcentral is "partial internal transcribed spacer region". The stretch from base 1 to 46 matches the Rfam family "Eukaryotic small subunit ribosomal RNA", at positions 1786 to 1831 of the family's 1831-position model. Lineage: Eukaryota; Fungi; Ascomycota; Dothideomycetes; Pleosporales; Phaeosphaeriaceae. The record is from RNAcentral.